RNAcentral lists this ribosomal RNA (301 nucleotides) under uncultured bacterium. Its description in RNAcentral is "partial 16S ribosomal RNA". It matches the Rfam family "Bacterial small subunit ribosomal RNA", at positions 509 to 807 of the family's 1533-position model. The record is from RNAcentral.
CAGUAGCCGCGGUAAUACGUAGGGUGCAAGCGUUAAUCGGAAUUACUGGGCGUAAAGCGUGCGCAGGCGGUUAUAUAAGACAGAUGUGAAAUCCCCGGGCUCAACCUGGGAACUGCAUUUGUGACUGUAUAGCUAGAGUACGGCAGAGGGGGAUGGAAUUCCGCGUGUAGCAGUGAAAUGCGUAGAUAUGCGAAGGAACACCGAUGGCGAAGGCAAUCCCCUGGGCCUGUACUGACGCUCAUGCACGAAAGCGUGGGGAGCAAACAGGAUUAGAUACCCCCGUAGUCCCUGUCUCUUAUAC